CUUAUCUGGUAAAGCGAAUGAUUAGAGGCAUUAGGGUCGAAACGACCUUAACCUAUUCUCAAACUUUAAAUGGGUAAGAACCUUAUCUUUCUUGAUAUGAAGAUAUAGGUUAUGAUAUAUUGUGCCCAGUGGGCCACUUUUGGUAAGCAGAACUGGCGCUGUGGGAUGAACCAAACGUAAUGUUAAGGCGCCAAAAUUAAUAACUCAUACUGAUACCAUGAAAGGCGUUGCUUGCUUAAAACAGCAGGACGGUGGACAUGGAAGUCGUAAUCCGCUAAGGAGUGUGUAACAACUCACCUGCCGAAGCAACUAGCCCUUAAAAUGGAUGGCGCUCAAGUUAUAUGCCUAUACAUUACCGCUAAAGUAAAUAAUUUAUUUUAAAUAUUUUAUAUAUAAUAUAAAUUUGAAAACCUUUAUUGAAGUAGGAGGGUACAAUGGUGUGCGUAGAAGUGUUUGGCGUAAGCCUGCCAUGGACCCGCCAUUGGUACAGAUCUUGGUGGUAGUAGCAAAUAAUCGAAUGAGACCUUGGAGGACUGAAGUGGAGAAGGUUUUCGUGUGAACAGUGGUUGAUCACGAGUUAGUCGGUCCUAAGUUCAAGGCGAAAGCCGAAAAAAUGAGCAAGUUUAAAUUGUAUAUCAUUGUAUAUAUCUUGUAAAUUUUUUGAACGAAAGGGAAUACGGUUCCAAUUCCGUAACCUGUUGAGUAUACGUUUUUAAUUAAAAAUGGGCAUAAUGCUCAUCCUGGUAACAGAAACCACCAUAAAGAAGCCGUCGAGAGAUAUCUAAAGAGUUUUCUUUUCUGUUUUAUAGUCGUAUUACCAUGGAAGUCUUUCGAAGAGAGAUAUGGUAAAUGGACUAGAAGAGCAUGGCAUUUACUGCUGUGUAGAUAUUUUCUCCUCGGACCUUGAAAAUUUAUGGUAGGGUUACGUAAACUUCUCAACAGGCCGUACCGAUAUCCGCAGCUGGUCUCCAAGGUGAAGAGUCUCUAGUCGAUAGAAUAAUGUAGGUAAGGGAAGUCGGCAAAUUACAUCCGUAACUUCGGGAUAAGGAUUGGCUCUGAAGAUUGAGAUAGUCGGGCUUGAUUGGGAAGCAAUAUUAUGGUUUAUGUACUCGUUCUGGGUAAAUUAGAAUGAAGUCAAUGUGUUAAAAACAUUGAAUUAAUUCGUUCCCCGGAUAGUAGUUUACGUAACCAAUUGCGGAACUUUCUUGCUAAUAAUAUGUUGGAAAUUUUUAUUAAAGAAAAUUUUUACAUAUUUCUAACGGCUAUCAAUUAACAAUCAAUUCAGAACUGGCACGGACUUGGGGAAUCCGACUGUCUAAUUAAAACAAAGCAUUGUGAUGGCCCUAACGGGUGAUGACACAAUGUGAUUUCUGCCCAGUGCUCCGAAUGUCAAAGUGAAGAAAUUCAAGUAAGCGCGGGUAAACGGCGGGAGUAACUAUGACUCUCUUAAGGUAGCCAAAUGCCUCGUCAUCUAAUUAGUGACGCGCAUGAAUGGAUUA
RNAcentral lists this ribosomal RNA (1499 nucleotides) under Acrocera bulla. RNAcentral's name for it is "eukaryotic LSU rRNA". It matches the Rfam family "Eukaryotic large subunit ribosomal RNA", at positions 1000 to 2326 of the family's 3401-position model. The record is from RNAcentral. Lineage: Eukaryota; Metazoa; Arthropoda; Insecta; Diptera; Acroceridae.